AAGUCGUAACAAGGUCUUCGUAGGUGAACCUGCGGANNNAUCAUUACACAAAUAUGAAGGCGGGCUGGAACCUCUCGGGGUUACAGCCUUGCUGAAUUAUUCACCCUUGUCUUUUGCGUACUUCUUGUUUCCUUGGUGGGUUCGCCCACCACUAGGACAAACAUAAACCUUUUGUAAUUGCAAUCAGCGUCAGUAACAAAUUAAUAAUUACAACUUUCAACAACGGAUCUCUUGGUUCUGGCAUCGAUGAAGAACGCAGCGAAAUGCGAUAAGUAGUGUGAAUUGCAGAAUUCAGUGAAUCAUCGAAUCUUUGAACGCACAUUGCGCCCUUUGGUAUUCCAAAGGGCAUGCCUGUUCGAGCGUCAUUUGUACCCUCAAGCUUUGCUUGGUGUUGGGCGUCUUGUCUCUAGCUUUGCUGGAGACUCGCCUUAAAGUAAUUGGCAGCCGGCCUACUGGUUUCGGAGCGCAGCACAAGUCGCACUCUCUAUCAGCAGAGGUCUAGCAUCCAUUAAGCCUUUUUUUCAACUUUUGACCUCGGAUCANGUAGGGAUACCCGCUGAACUUAAGCAUAUCA
RNAcentral lists this ribosomal RNA (574 nucleotides) under uncultured fungus. Its description in RNAcentral is "eukaryotic LSU rRNA". The stretch from base 212 to 365 matches the Rfam family "5.8S ribosomal RNA". Lineage: Eukaryota; Fungi. The record is from RNAcentral.